GUGUCAGCAGCCGCGGUAAGACGAGGGGUCCAAGCGUUGUUCGGAAUUAUUGGGCGUAAAGCGGGUGUAGGUGGCUCUAUAAGUCAGGAGUGAAAUCCCCGAGCUUAACUCGGGAAGUGCUUUUGAUACUGCAGAGCUUGAAUGUGGGAGAGGAUAAUAGAAUUCCAGGUGUAGUGGUGAAAUACGUAGAUAUCUGGAGGAAUACCGGUGGCGAAGGCGGUUAUCUGGCCCAACAUUGACACUGAGACCCGAAAGCGUGGGGAUCAAACAGGAUUAGAUACCCUGGUAGUCCACGCCGUAAACGAUGGAUACUUGUUGUUGGAGGUAUUGACCCCUUCAGUGACGAAGCUAACGCGUUAAGUAUCCCGCCUGGGGAGUACGGCCGCAAGGUUAAA
RNAcentral lists this ribosomal RNA (395 nucleotides) under uncultured bacterium. RNAcentral describes it as "bacterial SSU rRNA". It matches the Rfam family "Bacterial small subunit ribosomal RNA", at positions 505 to 898 of the family's 1533-position model. The record is from RNAcentral.